RNAcentral lists this ribosomal RNA (254 nucleotides) under uncultured bacterium. RNAcentral's name for it is "partial 16S ribosomal RNA". It matches the Rfam family "Bacterial small subunit ribosomal RNA", at positions 524 to 776 of the family's 1533-position model. The record is from RNAcentral.
UACGAAGGACCCGAGCGUUAUCCGGAUUUAUUGGGUUUAAAGGGUGCGUAGGCGGAUUAGUAAGUCAGUGGUGAAAGCCCAUCGCUUAACGGUGGAAUUGCCAUUGAUACUGCUAGUCUUGAGUAUGGUUGAGGUGGGCGGAAUGUGUCAUGUAGCGGUGAAAUGCUUAGAUAUGACCCAGAACACCAAUUGCGAAGGCAGCUCGCUAAGCCAUAACUGACGCUGAUGCACGAAAAGCGUGGGGAGCAAACAGG